AAAGCUUUAAGUUAUUCAAACUAGUAGCCUUCAAAGCUAUUUAAAAGAGUUUUAACCUCUUAAGCUUUA
RNAcentral lists this transfer RNA (69 nucleotides) under Aristaeopsis edwardsiana. Its description in RNAcentral is "tRNA-Trp". It matches the Rfam family "tRNA". From Rfam's summary of the family: Transfer RNA (tRNA) molecules are approximately 80 nucleotides in length. Their secondary structure includes four short double-helical elements and three loops (D, anti-codon, and T loops). Further hydrogen bonds mediate the characteristic L-shaped molecular structure. tRNAs have two regions of fundamental functional importance: the anti-codon, which is responsible for specific mRNA codon recognition, and the 3' end, to which the tRNAs corresponding amino acid is attached (by aminoacyl-tRNA synthetases). tRNAs cope with the degeneracy of the genetic code in two manners: having more than one tRNA (with a specific anti-codon) for a particular amino acid; and 'wobble' base-pairing, i.e. permitting non-standard base-pairing at the 3rd anti-codon position. The record is from RNAcentral. Lineage: Eukaryota; Metazoa; Arthropoda; Malacostraca; Decapoda; Aristeidae.